RNAcentral lists this RNase P RNA (411 nucleotides) under Paenibacillus crassostreae. RNAcentral's name for it is "Paenibacillus sp. LPB0068 Bacterial RNase P class A". It matches the Rfam family "Bacterial RNase P class A". Rfam says of the family: Ribonuclease P (RNase P) is a ubiquitous endoribonuclease, found in archaea, bacteria and eukarya as well as chloroplasts and mitochondria. Its best characterised activity is the generation of mature 5'-ends of tRNAs by cleaving the 5'-leader elements of precursor-tRNAs. The record is from Rfam by way of RNAcentral. Lineage: Bacteria; Bacillati; Bacillota; Bacilli; Caryophanales; Paenibacillaceae.
AAAGUUUGACAGACAAUCGCUGGUGAUGCUUAAGGCAUCACGAGAGGAAAGUCCGGGCUCCAUAGGGCAGGGUGCUGGAUAACGUCCAGUCAGCGCGAGUUGAAGGAUAGUGCCACAGAAAUGGACCGCCGAUGGCUGUGUAAGCAGCACAGGCAAGGAUGGAACCGAGGUGUAAGAGACCCCGAGGAACGCUGGUGACUUCGUUCCUGGUAAACCCCACUUGGAGCAAGACCUAAUGGAACGCAGCUUCUCUAUAAAGAUAAGCAACCUUAGCCCGAGGUGCGUUUAGGUUGGUCGCUUGAGCCGCUCAGCAAUGUUCGGCCUAGAUAGAUGAUUGUCGUUUAGAGUGGGAGGGUAGUUCCCGUAUGUACCACGAAGAACACAGGACCCGGCUUACGGCAAACUUUCAUA